GGGAACCUCACCCGGCCCGGACACCGCGAGGAUUGACAGACUGAGAGCUCUUUCUCGAUUCGGUGGGUGGUGGUGCAUGGCCGUUCUUAGUUGGUGGAGCGAUCUGUCUGGUUAAUUCCGAUAACGAACGAGACCCCAACCUGCUAACUAGCCCUCGGGUCCUGCUUCUGUUGGGCCCGACGGAAUGAUUCGCUUCUUAGAGGGACUCGCGGCGCCUAGCCGCACGAAGGGGGACAAUAA
RNAcentral lists this ribosomal RNA (240 nucleotides) under uncultured eukaryote. RNAcentral describes it as "partial 18S ribosomal RNA". It matches the Rfam family "Eukaryotic small subunit ribosomal RNA", at positions 1208 to 1456 of the family's 1831-position model. The record is from RNAcentral.